RNAcentral lists this ribosomal RNA (495 nucleotides) under uncultured bacterium. RNAcentral describes it as "partial 16S ribosomal RNA". It matches the Rfam family "Bacterial small subunit ribosomal RNA", at positions 28 to 507 of the family's 1533-position model. The record is from RNAcentral.
GACGAACGCUGGCGGCGUGCCUAAUACAUGCAAGUAGAACGCUGAAGGAGGAGCUUGCUCUUCUGGAUGAGUUGCGAACGGGCGAGUAACGCGUAGGUAACCUGCCUGGUAGCGGGGGAUAACUAUUGGAAACGAUAGCUAAUACCGCAUAAUAGUAGAUGUUGCAUGAUAUUUACUUAAAAGGUGCAAUUGCACCACUACCAGAUGGACCUGCGUUGUAUUAGCUAGUUGGUGGGGUAACGGCUCACCAAGGCGACGAUACAUAGCCGACCUGAGAGGGUGAUCGGCCACACUGGGACUGAGACACGGCCCAGACUCCUACGGGAGGCAGCAGUAGGGAAUCUUCGGCAAUGGACGAAAGUCUGACCGAGCAACGCCGCGUGAGUGAAGAAGGUUUUCGGAUCGUAAAGCUCUGUUGUAAGAGAAGAACGAGUGUGAGAGUGGAAAGUUCACACUGUGACGGUAUCUUACCAGAAAGGGACGGCUAACUACGUG